CCUACGGGUGGCAGCAGUGGGGAAUAUUGCGCAAUGGGGGCAACCCUGACGCAGCAACGCCGCGUGCAGGAAGAAGGUCUUCGGAUUGUAAACUGUUGUCGCAGGGGAAGAAGACAGUGACGGUACCCUGUGAGAAAGUCACGGCUAACUACGUGCCAGCAGCCGCGGUAAUACGGAGGAUGCGAGCGUUAUCCGGAUUUAUUGGGUUUAAAGGGUGCGUAGGCGGAUUAGUAAGUCAGCGGUAAAAAUGCGGUGCUCAACGCCGUAUCGCCGUUGAAACUGCGGGUCUUGAGUGAGCGAGAAGUAUGCGGAAUGCGUGGUGUAGCGGUGAAAUGCAUAGAUAUCACGCAGAACUCCGAUUGCGAAGGCAGCAUACCGGCGCUCAACUGACGCUGAGGCACGAAAGCGUGGGGAUCGAACAGGAUUAGAUACCCCAGUAGUC
This 442-nucleotide ribosomal RNA is filed under the name uncultured bacterium. RNAcentral describes it as "partial 16S ribosomal RNA". It matches the Rfam family "Bacterial small subunit ribosomal RNA", at positions 338 to 795 of the family's 1533-position model. The record is from RNAcentral.